GACGAACGCUGGCGGCAUGCCUAAUACAUGCAAGUCGAGCGGAGUUGAUGGAAAGCUUGCUUUCCUGAUACUUAGCGGCGGACGGGUGAGUAACACGUAGGCAACCUGCCCUCAAGCUUGGGACAACUACCGGAAACGGUAGCUAAUACCGAAUACUUGUUUUCUUCGCCUGAAGAGAACUGGAAAGACGGAGCAAUCUGUCACUUGGGGAUGGGCCUGCGGCGCAUUAGCUAGUUGGUGAGGUAACGGCUCACCAAGGCGACGAUGCGUAGCCGACCUGAGAGGGUGAUCGGCCACACUGGGACUGAGACACGGCCCAGACUCCUACGGGAGGCAGCAGUAGGGAAUCUUCCGCAAUGGGCGAAAGCCUGACGGAGCAAUGCCGCGUGAGUGAUGAAGGUUUUCGGAUCGUAAAGCUCUGUUGCCAGGGAAGAACGCUUGGGAGAGUAACUGCUCCCAAGGUGACGGUACCUGAGAAGAAAGCCCCGGCUAACUACGUGCCAGCCGCCGCCGUAA
This 516-nucleotide ribosomal RNA is filed under the name uncultured bacterium. Its description in RNAcentral is "partial 16S ribosomal RNA". It matches the Rfam family "Bacterial small subunit ribosomal RNA", at positions 28 to 523 of the family's 1533-position model. The record is from RNAcentral.